UGGGGAAUUUUGGACAAUGGGCGAAAGCCUGAUCCAGCCAUGCCGCGUGAGUGAAGAAGGCCUUCGGGUUGUAAAGCUCUUUCGGCCGGGAAGAAAUCGCACGGGCUAAUACCCUGUGUGGAUGACGGUACCGGAAUAAGAAGCACCGGCUAACUACGUGCCAGCAGCCGCGGUAAUACGUAGGGUGCGAGCGUUAAUCGGAAUUACUGGGCGUAAAGCGUGCGCAGGCGGUUUAGUAAGACAGACGUGAAAUCCCCGGGCUCAACCUGGGAACUGCGCUUGUGACUGCUAAGCUAGAGUACGGCAGAGGGGGGUGGAAUUCCACGUGUAGCAGUGAAAUGCGUAGAUAUGCGGAGGAACACCGAUGGCGAAGGCAAUCCCCUGGACCUGUACUGACGCUCAUGCACGAAAGCGUGGGGAGCAAACA
This 427-nucleotide ribosomal RNA is filed under the name uncultured bacterium. RNAcentral describes it as "bacterial SSU rRNA". It matches the Rfam family "Bacterial small subunit ribosomal RNA", at positions 355 to 774 of the family's 1533-position model. The record is from RNAcentral.